RNAcentral lists this long non-coding RNA (301 nucleotides) under Heterocephalus glaber (naked mole-rat). RNAcentral's name for it is "lncRNA (ENSHGLG00000047554.1)". The record is from RNAcentral. Lineage: Eukaryota; Metazoa; Chordata; Mammalia; Rodentia; Bathyergidae.
GAAACACUCCAGCUAGAGUAACUACAGGAGCUCCUUCUGAUGCAAGAGUUUACAUUAGCACUCUCACAAAAGCAGGAGGGAUCGAACUUGAGUCCUUGCCUUUGUGCAGCAGGCAACAAAACCACUGAGAGGAGACCACUGAGAUUCAGGGCUUCAUGAAGGCAGCACAACUGCUGGAUAGAGGCUCAAAGUGAGAGAAGGAGAUGUCAAAGUGGGAACCAGGACCCAAGAUUCUAUACCACCACCUACUGUCUCCUCUGAAACUUGCUUCUAUCUAAUGAGAAAAAAGACUGUACUUGCU